Molecule: long non-coding RNA, 1213 nt
Filed under: Homo sapiens (human)
Lineage: Eukaryota; Metazoa; Chordata; Mammalia; Primates; Hominidae
Description: HSALNT0286257
Source: RNAcentral
ACUAGUGGGAACAAACACAAGAAGCCAAAAGCAAUGUAGAGACAAGGGCAGCAUCCCUGCUACUGUUGUGGCUCUUCAAAGCUGGCUUGCUUUGACACCUGCAUUCCUGUUGUCAAGGAAACAGAAUUCUCUGGAUCCUAGGCAUAUGCAGGAACUUCAGCUUGAGAUAUAUAAUUGAAAAGCAAUGCCUGCCUGAAAUACUGCAUUAGACAAGAAAAACUGCAGUGGCAGAUUUAGAACAGAGAAAAGAAAGCAUAACAUAUUGCUUAUCACAGUCAAGUCAUGCCUUGCAGAUUAGAAACCUGGAGGAGAAUCACGGACCUGGGCCUGGCUCGCCUGAAAGGUGUAGGGUAACUGUAAUUCAGACCACCAAGAAACCGCCCUUGCCAAGAUCUCUUUUCUAGUCUGAAGACCACUUGGGACUGCAGGAAGGCACAUGGGAAUCCUGUUUGCAUCUGAUCUGCUCACUGCAAUAUAACACGUGCAUAAAACAGUGCAACCGUAUUUGUUUUAAUAAGGCCAUUCUGAGCAGCUGUUUAAUGAUCCAUGAUGUUAAAUGAAAACUACAGGUGUUCCAAAUGCAAACCUUAUGGCCCAGGGCCCCCCUUAUUACCGUUCUACAAUUAGCAGCCAACUGCUCUUAGGCUGUGCAAAGAAUUACCACCAUCAUCAUUACAUUAUUUCUUAAUUUCAUUCUCUGCCUAAGUGUCUUCCCCCAAAGGAAAAACCUGCUUGGCAUGGGAAAGCAUAAGAGUGAAAAAAUGAAAAGGGAAGGAGAACACAAAACACUCCCUGUCCAACCACAAGGAGGCCUCAGUGAAGGGGGAAAGAGCCAGCCAAAAGGCUCAGCCCCCUAAGGAAUCUUCCAGAGUGACUUUCUGGCCAAACUUAACAAAGUCUUGCUGAAACUAUUGGUGUUCAUAAGGAUUGCAUUAACCCUUUCUUCUUCAUGAUUCCCUAAGCUUAAUACUGUGCUAAGCCAAAUUGCCAGAAAGCUGCAUAGCUGGAUUCCAUCGCUCUGUCUUGUAGAGGGCUAAUUUUAUGCAAGUAUAAUUUUAACAUCACAACAGUUUUCACUUAAGGUACAUAUAAUAAACUGCAAAGAAGGAAGUCUUCUGUAUCACUUGUGAAAUUGCUGUCUGUAUCAUUAUCCAUUACAUACCUCAAUACCUCUUACAUAAAAAUGCCAGAGACAAAUUUAAUUAGAGCUCGG